UUGGAGGGCAAGUCUGGUGCCAGCAGCCGCGGUAAUUCCAGCUCCAAUAGCGUAUAUUAAAGUUGUUGCAGUUAAAAAGCUCGUAGUUGAAUUUCGAGACCGGUUUACUGGUCGUGCUAUUGUACGUACUGGUAUAAUCGGUUUCUCCUUUCUGACGAACUAUAAUGCCAUUAAUUUGGUGUUAUAGGGAAUCAGGACUGUUACUUUGAAAAAAUUAGAGUGUUUAAAGCAGGCUCACGCUUGAAUACAUUAGCAUGGAAUAACGGAAUAGGACGUUUGAUUCUAUUUUGUUGGUUUCUAGGAUCGACGUAAUGAUUAAUAGGGAUAGUUGGGGGCAUUAGUAUUCAAUUGUCAGAGGUGAAAUUCUUGGAUUUAUUGAAGACUAACUACUGCGAAAGCAUUUGCCAAGGAUGUUUUCAUUAAUCAAGAACGAAAGUUAGGGGAUCGAAGACGAUCAGAUACCGUCGUAGUCUUAACCAUAAACUAUGCCGACUAGGGAUCGGAUGAUGUUAAUUUUUUAAUGACUCAUUCGGCGCCUUACGGGAAAC
Molecule: ribosomal RNA, 548 nt
Filed under: uncultured Glomus
Lineage: Eukaryota; Fungi; Glomeromycota; Glomeromycetes; Glomerales; Glomeraceae
Description: SSU rRNA
Rfam family: Eukaryotic small subunit ribosomal RNA
Source: RNAcentral